UCGCGUCUUACGACGGCAGUUUCUGCAGCGUUCCUGGCAUGUCAAGGGUAGGUAAGGUUUUUCGCGUUGCAUCGAAUUAAACCACAUCAUCCACCGCUUGUGCGGGCCCCCGUCAAUUCCUUUGAGUUUUAAUCUUGCGACCGUACUCCCCAGGCGGAUGACUUCACGCGUUAGCUGCGUUACUAAAGGAUUUAACUCCUCCAACAACUAGUCAUCAUCGUUUAGGGCGUGGACUAC
This 237-nucleotide unclassified non-coding RNA is filed under the name uncultured Gammaproteobacteria bacterium. RNAcentral's name for it is "contains 16S-23S intergenic spacer region". Lineage: Bacteria; Pseudomonadati; Pseudomonadota; Gammaproteobacteria. The record is from RNAcentral.